UACGUAGGCAGCGAGCGUUGUUCGGAGUUACUGGGCGUAAAGGGUGUGUAGGCGGUUGCGUAAGUUUGGUGUGAAAUCUCCCGGCUCAACUGGGAGGGUGCGCCGAAUACUGAGUGACUCGAGUGCGGGAGAGGAGAGUGGAAUUCCUGGUGUAGCGGUGAAAUGCGUAGAUAUCAGGAGGAACACCGGUGGUGUAGACGGCUCUCUGGACCGUAACUGACGCUGAGACACGGAAGCGUGGGUAGCAAACAGG
This 253-nucleotide ribosomal RNA is filed under the name uncultured bacterium. Its description in RNAcentral is "partial 16S ribosomal RNA". It matches the Rfam family "Bacterial small subunit ribosomal RNA", at positions 524 to 776 of the family's 1533-position model. The record is from RNAcentral.